RNAcentral lists this unclassified non-coding RNA (231 nucleotides) under air metagenome. Its description in RNAcentral is "partial contains small subunit ribosomal RNA, internal transcribed spacer 1, and 5.8S ribosomal RNA". The stretch from base 1 to 46 matches the Rfam family "Eukaryotic small subunit ribosomal RNA", at positions 1786 to 1831 of the family's 1831-position model. The record is from RNAcentral.
AAGUCGUAACAAGGUCUCCGUAGGUGAACCUGCGGAGGGAUCAUUACCGAGUGAGGGCGCUUCCGGCGCCCGACCUCCCACCCUUUGUCGAUUGAAACCUUUGUUGCCUCGGGGGCGACCCGGCCUGUCACGGGCGUCGGGGCCCCCGGUGGACCACCAAACUCUGCGUCUGUGCGUCGGAGUCUCAAGUAAAUUGAAUCAAAACUUUCAACAACGGAUCUCUUGGUUCUG